AUCUGAAGAUUAAAUACGAUGAAGCCUGGGUGAUGCUUGAAGAACAGGCUAAUCAAAUUUUGAAAUUGUCCUCAGACAAGGAUCAUCAAAAUGAAGAGCUCAUAUGCCUGUGUGAAGUGAAUCAGAAGUUGGAGUCUGAAAUGGGGUACCUACGUCAAGAGCUCGGAGAAACUAAACUGAGGGAAAGGAAGCUAGGCGACGAAGUACUUAAGGGAACAAAUGAGAUUGAACAAUGGGAAACUCAGGCUUCAACACUCUUUGCUGAACUUCAGAUUUCUUCUGUCAAUGAAACAUUAUUAGAGGGAAAUGUCUGUGAGCUAGCUGAGAUGUUUCGUGUUUUACAUACUGAGAAAACAGAAUUGCAAAGAAUGGUGGAAAAUCUGAAGAUUAAAUAUGAUGAAGCCGAAGUGAUGCUUGAAGAACAGGCUAAUCAAAUUUUGAAAUUGUCCACAGACAAGGAUCAUCAAAAUGAAGAGCUCAUAUGCCUGUGUGAAGUGAAUCAGAAGUUGGAGUCUGAAAUGGGGUACCUACGUCAAGAGCUCGGAGAAACUAAACUGAGGGAAAGGAAGCUAGGUGAUGAAGUACUUAAGGGAACAAAUGAGAUUGAACAAUGGGAAACUCAGGCUUCAAUACUCUUUGCUGAACUUCAGAUUUCUGCUGUCAAUGAAACAUUAUU
Molecule: long non-coding RNA, 676 nt
Filed under: Glycine max (soybean)
Lineage: Eukaryota; Viridiplantae; Streptophyta; Magnoliopsida; Fabales; Fabaceae
Description: long non-coding RNA (GMAX_LNC002129)
Source: RNAcentral